GGCACAUGUGCAGCACAGGAAAGUAAAAGGUGCCAAAGGGUUGUAAUAUUUGGAGUGCCACAAUUGUAAACCAGCUGCUCUUAUUCAGGUCUAACAGCCCUUUAAGUGGCUGCUAUAUGUUUUGACAUCCACUGGUUCUCUUCUAUCCAGGGCACUACAUGGCCUUUGACUCAAGUGCCAUAACAGAUCAGAUUGCUCAUCUUCAGAGUGAGGUGAUGGAGCCUGAAUCUCAAGGUUGUUUGGAGUUCUGGUACCACAUGAAUAUGUGGGGCAGCGACAAGCUUAAACUAGCAGUUUAUGUAAAUGAGUCUGGUUCUCUACGCUGUCUGUGGAAUCGAACUGGGAAUCAGCAGAAUGUGUGGCACCAUCUCACUGUUGACUACAAAUCAUCUGAACGACACCAGAUUGUGUUUGAAGCCGUGCGUAAAUUCUUAGACUCUGGGGUCAUUGCUUUGGAUGACAUCUAUAUCAGGAGGAACACACGCUGCUCUGAUCUUACCCCAACAACACCUGCACCCACAACCGAGCCCACCUCUCCACCUGCGUCCUCGAUGGACUGCAACUUUCAGGAGGGUAAGAGACAUAUCAUCAAAACAUGGAUGUGUACUACUGUAUAUAUACAAGUGUAA
This is a long non-coding RNA of Cyprinus carpio (common carp), 629 nucleotides long. Lineage: Eukaryota; Metazoa; Chordata; Actinopteri; Cypriniformes; Cyprinidae. The record is from Ensembl.